GACGAGGGGAAGGAGACUUCAUCUUCAGAAGGAGAGAUGCCCUGAGGCUGACGAGGGGAAGGAGAGAUGCCCUGAGGCUGACAAGGGGAAGGAGAGAUGCCCUGAGGCUGACGAGGGGAAGGAGACUUCAUCUUCAGGAGGAGAGAUGCCCUGAGGCUGAUGAGGGGAUGGAGAGAUGCCCUGAGGCUGACGAGGGGAAGGAGAGAUGCCCUGAGGUUGACGAGGGGAAGGAGAGAUCCCCUGAGGCUGAUGAGGGGCAGUAGACUUCAUCUUCAGAAGGAGAGAUGCCCUGAGGCUGAUGAGGGGAAGGAGACUUCCUCUUCAGAAGGAGAGAUGCCCUGAGGCUGACGAGGGGAAGGAGAGAUGCCCUGAGGCUGACAAGGGGAAGGAGAGAUGCCCUGAGGCUGAUGAGGGGAAGGAGAGAUCCCUGAGGCUGACGAGGGGCAGGAGACUUCAUCUUCAGAAGGAGAGAUGCGCUGAUGUUGACGAGGGGAUGGAGAGAUGCUCUGAGGCCGACAAGGGGAAGGAGAGAUGCCCUGACACUGACGAGGGGAAGGAGAUUUAAUCUUCAGAAGGAGAGAUGCCCUGAGGCUGACGAGGGGAAGGAGAGAUGCCCUGAGGCUGACGAGGGGAAGGAGAGAUGUCCUGAGGCUGACGAGGGGAAGGAGAGAUGCCAUGAGGCUGACGAGGGGAAGGAGAGAUGAACUGAGGCUGACGAGGGGAAGGAGACUUCAUCUUCAGAAGGAGAGAUGCCCUGAGGAUGACGAGGGGAAGGAGACUUCAUCUUCAGAAGUAGAGAUGCCCUGAGGCCGACGAGGGGAAACAGACUUCAUCUUCAGAAGGAGAGAUGCCCUGAGGCCGAUGAGGGGAAGGAGACUUAAUCUUCAGAAGGAGAGAUGCCCUGAGGCUGACGAGGGGAAGGAGACUUCAUCUUCAGAAGGAGAGAUGCCCUGAGGCUGACGAGGGGAAGGAGAGAUGCCCUGAGGCUGACAAGGGGAAGGAGACUUCAUCUUCAGAAGGAGAGAUGCCCUGAGGAUGCCGAGGGGAAGGAGACUUCAUCUUCAGAAGGAGAGAUGCCCUGUUGCUGACGAGGGGAAGGAGAGAUGCCCUGAGGCUGACGAGGGGAAAGAGAGAUGCCCUGAGGCUGACGAGGGGAAGGAGACUUCAUCUUCAGGAGGAGAGAUGCCCUGAGGCUGACUAGGGGAUGGAGAGAUGCCCUGAGGCUGACAAGGGGAAGGAGAGAUGCCCUGAGGCUGACGAGGGGCUGGAGACUUCAUCUUCAGAAGGAGAGAUGCGCUGAG
This 1301-nucleotide long non-coding RNA is filed under the name Salmo salar (Atlantic salmon). RNAcentral's name for it is "lncRNA (ENSSSAG00000092458.1)". Lineage: Eukaryota; Metazoa; Chordata; Actinopteri; Salmoniformes; Salmonidae. The record is from RNAcentral.